CCUACGGGGGGCAGCAGUCGAGAAUCAUUCACAAUGGGGGAAACCCUGAUGGUGCGACGCCGCGUGGGGGAAUGAAGGUCUUCGGAUUGUAAACCCCUGUCAUGUGGGAGCAAAUUAAAAAGAUAGUACCACAAGAGGAAGAGACGGCUAACUCUGUGCCAGCAGCCGCGGUAAUACAGAGGUCUCAAGCGUUGUUCGGAAUCACUGAGCGUAAAGCGUGCGUAGGCUGUUUCGUAAGUCGUGUGUGAAAGGCGAGGGCUCAACCCGCGGACGGCACAUGAUACUGCGAGACUAGAGUAAUGGAGGGGGAACCGGAAUUCUCGGUGUAGCAGUGAAAUGCGUAGAUAUCGAGAGGAACACUCGUGGCGAAGGCGGGUUCCUGGACAUUAACUGACGCUGAGGCACGAAGGCCAGGGGAGCGAAAGGGAUUAGAUACCCUUGUAGUC
Molecule: ribosomal RNA, 446 nt
Filed under: uncultured bacterium
Lineage: Bacteria
Description: partial 16S ribosomal RNA
Rfam family: Bacterial small subunit ribosomal RNA
Source: RNAcentral